Molecule: ribosomal RNA, 468 nt
Filed under: uncultured bacterium
Lineage: Bacteria
Description: partial 16S ribosomal RNA
Rfam family: Bacterial small subunit ribosomal RNA
Source: RNAcentral
GACGAACGCUGGCGGCGUGCUUAACACAUGCAAGUCGAACGGAAAGGCCCUGCUUUUGUGGGGUGCUCGAGUGGCGAACGGGUGAGUAACACGUGAGUAACAUGCACUUGACUUUGGGAUAACUUCAGGAAACUGGGGCUAAUACCGGAUAGGAGCUCCUGCUGCAUGGUGGGGGUUGGAAAGUUUCGGCGGUUGGGGAUGGACUCGAGGCUUAUCAGCUUGUUGGUGGGGUAGUGGCUUACCAAGGCUUUGACGGGUAGCCGACCUGAGAGGUUGACCGGCCUCAUUGGGACUGCGAUAGGGCCCAGACGCCUACGGGAGGCAGCAGUGGGGAAUAUUGCACAAUGGGCGGAAGCCUGAUGCGGAGACGCCGCGUGCGUGAUGACGGCCUUCGGGUUAUAAACCGCUUUCGCCUGUGACGAAGCGGGAGUGACGGUAAUGGGUAAAGAAGCACCGGCUAACUACGUG